UACGAAGGGGGCUAGCGUUGUUCGGAUUUACUGGGCGUAAAGGGCGCGUAGGCGGACCUGUAAGUCAGGGGUGAAAUCCCAAGGCUCAACCUUGGAACUGCCUUUGAUACUGUGGGUCUUGAGUUCGAGAGAGGUAAGUGGAACUGCGAGUGUAGAGGUGAAAUUCGUAGAUAUUCGCAAGAACACCAGUGGCGAAGGCGGCUUACUGGCUCGAAACUGACGCUGAGGCGCGAAAGCGUGGGGAGCAAACAGG
This 253-nucleotide ribosomal RNA is filed under the name uncultured bacterium. Its description in RNAcentral is "partial 16S ribosomal RNA". It matches the Rfam family "Bacterial small subunit ribosomal RNA", at positions 524 to 776 of the family's 1533-position model. The record is from RNAcentral.